Molecule: ribosomal RNA, 253 nt
Filed under: uncultured bacterium
Lineage: Bacteria
Description: partial 16S ribosomal RNA
Rfam family: Bacterial small subunit ribosomal RNA
Source: RNAcentral
UACGAAGGGGGCUAGCGUUGUUCGGAAUUACUGGGCGUAAAGCGUAUGCAGGCGGAUCGUUAAGUCGGGGGUGAAAUCCCGAGGCUCAACCUCGGAACUGCCUUCGAUACUGGCGAUCUUGAGUCCGGGAGAGGUGAGUGGAACUGCGAGUGUAGAGGUGAAAUUCGUAGAUAUUCGCAAGAACACCAGUGGCGAAGGCGGCUCACUGGCCCGGUACUGACGCUGAGGCACGAAAGCGUGGGGAGCAAACAGG